UCAAGUAUCAUUAGCCCCACUUUAGAGAGCUGGAGACUGAGGCCCAGGAGUUUAAGUGGCAGGGCUGGGCCUGGGCCCCCGGCCAAGGGUCCGUCAGCAAGGGCUGCUCCUGUCACCGUCGUCAGUCUCCAGUAGAUCCCCUGAGAAGGCUGUGAGCCGGCUUUCAGGGGUGGGCUCAGGGCCCGGGGCCGGGAGGAAGGAAGCUGCUGAGUAGUGAGGGGCAGUGAGCAGGUCCCCUCCCUCUCCUCCUUUCACGGUCGGUCAGUUUCCUCGAGGAGGGGCUUCUAAACGCUGUCCCUGUUCUCUGCACACGCAGGUGCACACGCACACAUACACACCUGUUCACGCUUUAUCCCUUUUGGUUCGGGGUCUGUCCCCAGCAAAUCAUUAACCUUGUUCUGGUGGAGGCUCUGACGGGAGUCGUUUAUCUGCUGAUCCUGUGAGUUGACUGGGCUCCAGGGACGUUCUUCCGGGCUGGGCUGCCGUCACGGGUGAGCCUGAGCACUCCGGAGCCCCCGGGAUGCCUUGCUCACGGAGCCGGCAUUCGAUGCUGACCGGGGAGGCUUGUUUCUGCCAGGGAGUGUCCUCAGAGAGGUCCUUUCAAGAGGGAGGAAGUAGCCAUGGGAUGUGGCUGACCCACAGCGUGCCUCUCUCCGCCUUCUCCUGUCCAUUCCCUUCCAGGCCUCUGACCAUUCCUCUUCACCAGCCCCCUCUUCCUUGCUUUGUCCUUGGCUCUUUCCUCUCUUGAGCCUGCACAUGACCUAGAGGUCACAGCCACCCUGUGAUGCCGAUACCUCAUUUGGGCUGAGGUCCUGAGAGCCGGCCCAGGGUCUUCAACCUUCUCUCCAUGUUCCCGACAGGAGGCAGAGUUAAGAAUUCCCAAGGGCCAUCUCGCUCGUCCUGCCCAGAGGAGGACUUGUCUUCCUUCCCCAGCCUUCAUGCUCCUUGUGCAGUCCCCAACUUGGUGAGCAGACCCACCCCAUCCAUGGCCGUGGACUUCCGACCCCCCCAGGUGCCCUCGCACCAGCUCUCCUGGGAGAUACAACAUGCACCACCUGGGUAAGCAGGAAAAAACACCCAGAGGUCGUUUAAAACAAAGUGAAAGGGAGGGGUGAGCACAUCUCGAGGGUUCUGUUUCUUUAGAGGGAAAGCGGAGAGCCGGUUGUUUAAAGCAGAGAUCUGGGAGCAGUCCCAGCUUAAUUGGAAAACCUCAUUCAGACGGACUGGAGAGGCCUCAGGAAUGGCAAACAGCUUCUCCCUGCUUGGAGGAAUUUUCUGGAAACCAUAAUGGCCGUUCUUCCCAACCACAGGCUGGUCUUUCUGGCAGAAUUAGCCUGUUCCGACAGGUGUAAAGCGAUACGUCAUUGUGGCUCGAAUCUGCGUGUCCCCGAUGAGGAGAGAUGCUGAGCAUCUUCUCAUGUGUCUGUUGGCAUCUGGACGUCUUCUUUGGAAAAAUGUCUACUCAGAGUGCAGGGGCCGUUCUGGAGGAAAGGGAGCCAACAGACUGAUCCAGAGAAAAAGUGCUUCUCCAGGUGAGCACCUUUUCGAGGGAUGUCCUCUACGACAGCCUGGAAUGACGCCGGCACAGCUUCGUCCUAUUUGGUUUUGGAGGUGACCCUGCAUCCAUCUGUGGGCCGCUCACGACCGCCAGCUCCCCGAACAGGCAGCCACACUCCAGGGUCCCUCUGCUCACUUCAGCGAGGUGAGGAAGAGAAGGCUGUGUGCGUCGACGGUUCUCCCACGUGUCAGGGCUAGGAUGCCAGUUGCAUGCCCGCUGGGUGUGAGGACAGGACGCUGAGCAGCAGGAGGGGGAGUGGGAUCCCUGGGACAUGCUUUCUGUGUGGUCCCCGGGCCCCCAGAAGCUUGAACGGAGCGGGCGGCCGUGUUGAAGUUGGGCACAUGCAACCAUGCUCUGCGUCUGUGGCCUCCCCCACAAGCCGAGUGCCACGUGGGCCACCAGCGAGCCCAGAGACCUGGGCUGAACCCUUUGUUCUCUGGGCCUCAGUUGACCCACCUGGGAAAUGAGGGGCCGGCUUCCAUCCCUGCUCCCGAUUCAGGAGCCCCAAAGACCGUGGAUCACCUACGACUCUGCAGGUCGAAGUUCCCUUCUGCUUAGAGUUUAUCGGUGCUGCCUUGGAAACGAAGCCAAGGUCACCUUCGCAACUGGAGUCCUGGGUGGGUACACUGUCCAGGGCCGCGUGCUGUGCUGGACCCCAGUCACCACUGGUUUCAAGUGUAGGUUUUAUUGUCAUUCAAGUAUGGUGACCAACAGAUCAGGGGUCAACUGCCAUCAGGAAGGUAGUUUGUGAUUCGUAGAUCCCAAGAGGCGGGGGCACGCCAUGCCCUGCAGGGCCACGGGGGGAGCACCAGGGUCGGUCAUGGGGCAGAGGGACAGACGGGAAGGCGGGAUCCACAGCCUGCCUUGUGGUUUUCACGGGAAAGAAAGGGCUUGGGAUGGGCGAGUUGGAAUCAUGGACUCCAGGGUGUCGGGGUGGCCUCUCACUGUCUGGUCCCUGGCCCUGGGGUGAUCGGGACAGGGCAGUAUUGGCCCCAAGUACGAAGAGGAUGGUUAGGGUGCAUGUUCUGGGUUGGUUUAUAUAUGAAAGACGGGCUCUCUGGGAGCAGAGUGGUUUGCUCCUUCUGGAAGUUCCAGCCCUGGGAGGGGCCCUGGGUACCAGCGCACCAAGAACAUAGAACAGGACAGAGUUAAUGUGGCACGUAACAAAAUGUGUGCUGCACGUAAUUUGUCAUUUUUAAAAAAUAAUAGACUUUAUUUUUUAGAGCGGUUUUAGAAAGAUUGAGCAGAAAGUAUAGAGUUCCCGCAUACCCUCCAUUUCCAGCAUGCACACACACACACACAGUCACACACGCGCACACAUGCACGCGCACGCACGCACACUCACACGCACGCGCACGCCGUUUCUCCCAUUAUCAGCAUCUCGCAGGUGGGCCGUGCAUUUCUUGUAACUGAACCAGUGUCGCCACACC
Molecule: long non-coding RNA, 2988 nt
Organism: Ailuropoda melanoleuca (giant panda)
Lineage: Eukaryota; Metazoa; Chordata; Mammalia; Carnivora; Ursidae
Exons: 4
Source: RefSeq, a predicted model, not a curated record